This 913-nucleotide ribosomal RNA is filed under the name uncultured bacterium. Its description in RNAcentral is "bacterial SSU rRNA". It matches the Rfam family "Bacterial small subunit ribosomal RNA", at positions 246 to 1155 of the family's 1533-position model. The record is from RNAcentral.
UAGUUGGUGGGGUAAAGGCCUACCAAGGCGACGAUCAGUAGCGGGUCUGAGAGGAUGAUCCGCCACACUGGAACUGAGACACGGUCCAGACUCCUACGGGAGGCAGCAGUGGGGAAUUUUGGACAAUGGGGGCAACCCUGAUCCAGCCAUUCCGCGUGAGUGAAGAAGGCCUUCGGGUUGUAAAGCUCUUUCAGCUGGAACGAAACGGUACGCUCUAACGUAGCGUGCUAAUGACGGUACCAGCAGAAGAAGCACCGGCUAACUACGUGCCAGCAGCCGCGGUAAUACGUAGGGUGCGAGCGUUAAUCGGAAUUACUGGGCGUAAAGCGUGCGCAGGCGGAUUGUUAAGCAAGACGUGAAAUCCCCGGGCUUAACCUGGGAAUGGCGUUUUGAACUGGCAGUCUAGAGUGUGUCAGAGGGGGGUAGAAUUCCACGUGUAGCAGUGAAAUGCGUAGAGAUGUGGAGGAAUACCAAUGGCGAAGGCAGCCCCCUGGGAUAACACUGACGCCCAUGUACGAAAGCGUGGGUAGCAAACAGGAUUAGAUACCCUGGUAGUCCACGCCCUAAACGAUGUCAACUGGUUGUUGGGGGAGUGAAAUCCCUUAGUAACGAAGCUAACGCGUGAAGUUGACCGCCUGGGGAGUACGGUCGCAAGAUUAAAACUCAAAGGAAUUGACGGGGACCCGCACAAGCGGUGGAUGAUGUGGAUUAAUUCGAUGCAACGCGAAAAACCUUACCUACCCUUGACAUGUCCAGAAUCCUGCAGAGAUGCGGGAGUGCCCGAAAGGGAAUUGGAACACAGGUGCUGCAUGGCUGUCGUCAGCUCGUGUCGUGAGAUGUUGGGUUAAGUCCCGCAACGAGCGCAACCCUUAUCAUUAGUUGCUACGCAAGGGCACUCUAAUGAGACUGCCGG